GUGCCUAAUACAUGCAAGUCGAACGGACAAGUAAGAGCUUGCUCUUAUGAGUUAGUGGCGCACGGGUGAGUAAUGUAUAGCUAAUCUGCCCUACACUAGAGGACAACAGUUGGAAACGACUGCUAAUACUCUAUACUCCUCUCUAGCAUAAGUUAGAUAGGGAAAGUUUUUCGGUGUAGGAUGAGGCUAUAUUGUAUCAGCUAGUUGGUGAGGUAAUGGCUCACCAAGGCUAUGACGCAUAACUGGUCUGAGAGGAUGAUCAGUCACACUGGAACUGAGACACGGUCCAGACUCCUACGGGAGGCAGCAGUAGGGAAUAUUGCUCAAUGGGGGAAACCCUGAAGCAGCAACGCCGCGUGGAGGAUGACACUUUUCGGAGCGUAAACUCCUUUUGUUAGGGAAGAACAAUGACGGUACCUAACGAAUAAGCACCGGCUAACUCCGUGCCAGCGGCCGCGGUAAUACGGAGGGUGCAAGCGUUACUCGGAAUCACUGGGCGUAAAGGACGCGUAGGCGGAUUAUCAAGUCUCUUGUGAAAUCCUAUGGCUUAACCAUAGAACUGCUUGGGAAACUGAUAAUCUAGAGUGAGGGAGAGGCAGAUGGAAUUGGUGGUGUAGGGGUAAAAUCCGUAGAGAUCACCAGGAAUACCCAUUGCGAAGGCGAUC
This 665-nucleotide ribosomal RNA is filed under the name uncultured Campylobacterota bacterium. Its description in RNAcentral is "bacterial SSU rRNA". It matches the Rfam family "Bacterial small subunit ribosomal RNA", at positions 44 to 726 of the family's 1533-position model. The record is from RNAcentral. Lineage: Bacteria; Pseudomonadati; Campylobacterota.